GAUGAAGAACGUAGCGAAAUGCGAUAGGUAAUGUGAAUUGCAGAAUUCAGUGAAUCAUCGAAUCUUUGAACGCAUCUUGCGCUCCUUGGUAUUCUGAGGAGCAUGCCUGUUUGAGUGUCAUUAAAUUCUCAACUACACUGACUUUGAAUUGGUGUGGCUUGGAUUUGGGGGGAAAAUUGUUGUGGGCUUUUUGUAUAGUCUGCUCCCCUGAAAUUGAUUAGCGGUACCUUUGUGGAACUGUCUACAGGUGUGAUAAUUAUCUACAUCUUAGACAUCUGCUGGAAUGCUGCUUUCUAAACCUUACUUGUAUUGACAAUCUUGACCUCAAAUCAGGUAGGACUACCCGCUGAACUUAAGCAUAUCAAUAAGCGGAGGA
Molecule: unclassified non-coding RNA, 376 nt
Filed under: soil metagenome
Description: partial contains 5.8S ribosomal RNA, internal transcribed spacer 2, and large subunit ribosomal RNA
Rfam family: 5.8S ribosomal RNA (bases 1-120)
Source: RNAcentral